Molecule: ribosomal RNA, 440 nt
Filed under: uncultured bacterium
Lineage: Bacteria
Description: partial 16S ribosomal RNA
Rfam family: Bacterial small subunit ribosomal RNA
Source: RNAcentral
CCUACGGGUGGCAGCAGUGGGGAAUAUUGCACAAUGGGGGAAACCCUGAUGCAGCGACGCCGCGUGAGUGAAGAAGUAUUUCGGUACGUAAAGCUCUAUCAGCAGGGAAGAAAAUGACGGUACCUGACUAAGAAGCCCCGGCUAACUACGUGCCAGCAGCCGCGGUAAUACGUAGGGGGCAAGCGUUAUCCGGAUUUACUGGGUGUAAAGGGAGCGUAGACGGCAGCGCAAGUCUGGAGUGAAAUCCCAUGGCUGAACCAUGGAACUGCUUUGGAAACUGUGCAGCUAGAGUGCAGGAGAGGUAAGCGGAAUUCCUAGUGUAGCGGUGAAAUGCGUAGAUAUUAGGAGGAACACCGGUGGCGAAGGCGGCUUACUGGACUGUAACUGACGUUGAGGCUCGAAAGCGUGGGGAGCAAACAGGAUUAGAUACCCGAGUAGUC